RNAcentral lists this ribosomal RNA (668 nucleotides) under uncultured bacterium. RNAcentral describes it as "bacterial SSU rRNA". It matches the Rfam family "Bacterial small subunit ribosomal RNA", at positions 555 to 1221 of the family's 1533-position model. The record is from RNAcentral.
UGGGCGUAAAGGGCUCGUAGGUGGUUGAUCGCGUCGGAAGUGUAAUCUUGGGGCUUAACCCUGAGCGUGCUUUCGAUACGGGUUGACUUGAGGAAGGUAGGGGAGAAUGGAAUUCCUGGUGGAGCGGUGGAAUGCGCAGAUAUCAGGAGGAACACCAGUGGCGAAGGCGGUUCUCUGGGCCUUUCCUGACGCUGAGGAGCGAAAGCGUGGGGAGCGAACAGGCUUAGAUACCCUGGUAGUCCACGCUGUAAACGGUGGGUACUAGGCGUGGGGUCCAUUCCACGGGUUCCGUGCCGUAGCUAACGCUUUAAGUACCCCGCCUGGGGAGUACGGCCGCAAGGCUAAAACUCAAAGGAAUUGACGGGGCCCCGCACAAGCGGCGGAGCAUGCGGAUUAAUUCGAUGCAACGCGUAGAACCUUACCUGGGUUUGACAUGGAUCGGGAGUGCUCAGAGAUGGGUGUGCCUCUUUUGGGGUCGGUUCACAGGUGGUGCAUGGCUGCCGUCAGCUCGUGUCGUGAGAUGUUGGGUUAAGUCCCGCAACGAGCGCAACCCUUGUUCACUGUUGCCAGCACGUUAUGGUGGGGACUCAGUGGAAACCGCCGGGGUCAACUCGAAAGAAGGUGGGGAUGACGUCAAGUUAUCAUGCCCCUUAUAUAUGGUUUCACGG